ACGGGAGGCAGCAGUAGGGAAUAUUGCACAAUGGGGGAAACCCUGAUGCAGCAAUGCCACGUGUGGGAAGAAGCAUUUCGGUGUGUAAACCACUGUCGUGAAGGAAUAAGGCUUAUUUUCGGAUAAGUUGAAUGUACUUUGAAAGGAAGCACCGGCAAACUUCGUGCCAGCAGCCGCGGUAAUACGAGGGGUGCAAGCGUUGUUCGGAAUCACUGGGCGUAAAGGGAGCGCAGGCGGAGAUGCAAGCAGUCUGUACAAUACCGGGGCCCAACCCCGGACCUGCAGACCGGACUGCAUUUCUUGGAUAGUUCAGGGGCAAGCGGAAUUCCUGGUGUAGCGGUGGAAUGCGUAGAGAUCAGGAAGAACACCGAUGGCGAAGGCAGCUUGCUGGGGACUUAUCGACGCUCAUGCUCGAAAGUGCGGGUAGCAAACAGGAUUAGAUACCCUGGUA
RNAcentral lists this ribosomal RNA (451 nucleotides) under uncultured Fibrobacter sp. Its description in RNAcentral is "partial 16S ribosomal RNA". It matches the Rfam family "Bacterial small subunit ribosomal RNA", at positions 341 to 792 of the family's 1533-position model. The record is from RNAcentral. Lineage: Bacteria; Pseudomonadati; Fibrobacterota; Fibrobacteria; Fibrobacterales; Fibrobacteraceae.